This 1323-nucleotide ribosomal RNA is filed under the name Pediococcus acidilactici. RNAcentral's name for it is "bacterial SSU rRNA". It matches the Rfam family "Bacterial small subunit ribosomal RNA", at positions 83 to 1394 of the family's 1533-position model. Lineage: Bacteria; Bacillati; Bacillota; Bacilli; Lactobacillales; Lactobacillaceae. The record is from RNAcentral.
AACACGAAGUGAGUGGCGGACGGGUGAGUAACACGUGGGUAACCUGCCCAGAAGCAGGGGAUAACACCUGGAAACAGAUGCUAAUACCGUAUAACAGAGAAAACCGCCUGGUUUUCUUUUAAAAGAUGGCUCUGCUAUCACUUCUGGAUGGACCCGCGGCGCAUUAGCUAGUUGGUGAGGUAACGGCUCACCAAGGCGAUGAUGCGUAGCCGACCUGAGAGGGUAAUCGGCCACAUUGGGACUGAGACACGGCCCAGACUCCUACGGGAGGCAGCAGUAGGGAAUCUUCCACAAUGGACGCAAGUCUGAUGGAGCAACGCCGCGUGAGUGAAGAAGGGUUUCGGCUCGUAAAGCUCUGUUGUUAAAGAAGAACGUGGGUGAGAGUAACUGUUCACCCAGUGACGGUAUUUAACCAGAAAGCCACGGCUAACUACGUGCCAGCAGCCGCGGUAAUACGUAGGUGGCAAGCGUUAUCCGGAUUUAUUGGGCGUAAAGCGAGCGCAGGCGGUCUUUUAAGUCUAAUGUGAAAGCCUUCGGCUCAACCGAAGAAGUGCAUUGGAAACUGGGAGACUUGAGUGCAGAAGAGGACAGUGGAACUCCAUGUGUAGCGGUGAAAUGCGUAGAUAUAUGGAAGAACACCAGUGGCGAAGGCGGCUGUCUGGUCUGUAACUGACGCUGAGGCUCGAAAGCAUGGGUAGCGAACAGGAUUAGAUACCCUGGUAGUCCAUGCCGUAAACGAUGAUUACUAAGUGUUGGAGGGUUUCCGCCCUUCAGUGCUGCAGCUAACGCAUUAAGUAAUCCGCCUGGGGAGUACGACCGCAAGGUUGAAACUCAAAAGAAUUGACGGGGGCCCGCACAAGCGGUGGAGCAUGUGGUUUAAUUCGAAGCUACGCGAAGAACCUUACCAGGUCUUGACAUCUUCUGCCAACCUAAGAGAUUAGGCGUUCCCUUCGGGGACAGAAUGACAGGUGGUGCAUGGUUGUCGUCAGCUCGUGUCGUGAGAUGUUGGGUUAAGUCCCGCAACGAGCGCAACCCUUAUUACUAGUUGCCAGCAUUCAGUUGGGCACUCUAGUGAGACUGCCGGUGACAAACCGGAGGAAGGUGGGGACGACGUCAAAUCAUCAUGCCCCUUAUGACCUGGGCUACACACGUGCUACAAUGGAUGGUACAACGAGUCGCGAAACCGCGAGGUUUAGCUAAUCUCUUAAAACCAUUCUCAGUUCGGACUGUAGGCUGCAACUCGCCUACACGAAGUCGGAAUCGCUAGUAAUCGCGGAUCAGCAUGCCGCGGUGAAUACGUUCCCGGGCCUUGUACACACCGCC